This 468-nucleotide ribosomal RNA is filed under the name uncultured bacterium. Its description in RNAcentral is "partial 16S ribosomal RNA". It matches the Rfam family "Bacterial small subunit ribosomal RNA", at positions 28 to 507 of the family's 1533-position model. The record is from RNAcentral.
GACGAACGCUGGCGGCGUGCUUAACACAUGCAAGUCGAACGGAAAGGCCCUGCUUUUGUGGGGUGCUCGAGUGGCGAACGGGUGAGUAACACGUGAGUAACCUGCCCUUGACUUUGGGAUAACUUCAGGAAACUGGGGCUAAUACCGGAUAGGAGCUCCUGCUGCAUGGUGGGGGUUGGAAAGUUUCGGCGGUUGGGGAUGGACUCGCGGCUUAUCAGCUAGUUGGGGGGGUAGUGGCUUACCAAGGCUUUGACGGGUAGCCGGCCUGGGAGGGUGACCGGCCACAUUGGGACUGAGAGACGGCCCAGACUCCUACGGGAGGCAGCAGUGGGGAAUAUUGCACAAUGGGCGGAAGCCUGAUGCAGCAACGCCGCGUGCGGGAUGACGGCCUUCGGGUUGUAAACCGCUUUCGCCUGUGACGAAGCGUGAGUGACGGUAAUGGGUAAAGAAGCACCGGCUAACUACGUG